CAGGGUGUGGCGCAGUUGGUAGCGCGCUACUUUCGGGAAGUAGAGGUCGGCAGUUCAAGUCUGCUCACCCUGACCA
Molecule: transfer RNA, 76 nt
Filed under: Candidatus Saccharimonadota bacterium
Lineage: Bacteria; Candidatus Saccharimonadota
Description: tRNA-Pro
Rfam family: tRNA
About the family: Transfer RNA (tRNA) molecules are approximately 80 nucleotides in length. Their secondary structure includes four short double-helical elements and three loops (D, anti-codon, and T loops).
Source: RNAcentral